Molecule: long non-coding RNA, 296 nt
Filed under: Anas platyrhynchos platyrhynchos (common mallard)
Lineage: Eukaryota; Metazoa; Chordata; Aves; Anseriformes; Anatidae
Description: lncRNA (ENSAPLG00000027273.1)
Source: RNAcentral
GGGGUAGACAUUGGUAGGAAAAACAAAUAAAUAAAAAAGAUUCACUCAAAAAUCAACAAAAGCCAUAACUCUAAAUGUCUUGACAGUGUAGUGUAACUUGAAGCUAAGACUGUCUGAGAGCCAGAAGAUAAAAUGUCCUCUACUGAUGUCCCCACGGACUUUAUGUACCUGUGCUGUGGAGUCUGAUUCUUGAGAUACUUGGGAAAGCAUCAUUCUGGACUGCCUCAUGUGGAAGUUGCCUCCUAGAAGCUGUUGUAUCCCACCAUGAUCAAGAGAGGAUAUAAACCAGUAUAAAC